UGCAGGGUGGAGAAGAAGCAUCUCACCUGGCUCAUAACCAGGAGGCCGUCGGUGCAAGUCCGGCCCCUGCGACCU
Molecule: transfer RNA, 75 nt
Filed under: Gemmata massiliana
Lineage: Bacteria; Pseudomonadati; Planctomycetota; Planctomycetia; Gemmatales; Gemmataceae
Rfam family: tRNA
About the family: Transfer RNA (tRNA) molecules are approximately 80 nucleotides in length. Their secondary structure includes four short double-helical elements and three loops (D, anti-codon, and T loops).
Source: RNAcentral